This 1790-nucleotide unclassified non-coding RNA is filed under the name Drosophila mojavensis. Its description in RNAcentral is "GI23883". The record is from RNAcentral. Lineage: Eukaryota; Metazoa; Arthropoda; Insecta; Diptera; Drosophilidae.
CCUGCCUGACCCGACCAUGCGGCAGUAGUAGCAGCAGCUGUCAAUGUUAUCGCAGUCAACGUCUCUGUCACAGUUGGCGUCGCAGUCGCUCUGGCCACGCGUAACUUUAUUUUUAGUUGUGCAUUGGAAGUGCCAUGGGAAAGUGCUGCUACGGCAACAACAACAUGGCGAAUUUGUAACAUUGUUAUUGGAAAUAUGUGUGUAGGCUACCAGCACGAGGAGCAACAACAACAAUGAAAGCAAUAACAACAAGAGCCGAAGGGUAGGCGCUAAAGGAAAGCGAAAACGUAAAGCAAAAUUCCAUUGAGGUUUUUUUUAAAUCGAAACGAAAUUAGUUUUCGAUGAACUUUAAAGGCGAGUAAACAGCCGUUGCGGCUGCACGUGUCGCAAAAUCCAAAUUACAAAAGGCUAACCAAAUAAAUAGUGAAAAACAUCGCAAAUACAUUGAAGAAAAAAAAAACGAAACGGAUCCCGUGACACGCGGCAAAUGCUGCGAGCAAUCGAAAGUGAAACUUUACGAGUAUCUCACGUUAAAUUUAAGGCGAAGGUUGAGCCCAACGCAACCUUGAAGCGAAUUUGUGAAAGUGAAGCAAUAUUAAAGAAUAAAUUUAAUAAAAAUAAAUAAAUAAAUAAAUAACAAAAAAAUUGCAAAUAAAACGUGCGUGCUCGCUAAAUUACGCUUGCAUCUGGCAUUGAGUGAUAUAUAAUUAAAAGCUUGUUUGCUGAAGGUUAAACGUGUCACACACAAAGGAAAUCUACUUUAAAUAAUAUAAUUAAUAUUUCGUCGGGCACAUAAAGGUUGCAGAGAAAACUAAAUUAUUAGUGUAUAAAAUUUGGCUUUAAUUAAUGCAUACAAAGAGGUAAACAAAUGGCUCAAAUUCAAGAAUAAAUACAUAAAUAAAAAGAGCUGCAAAUAUAACAGAAUAUUUAAUUGCUAUUUAUUGCAAUAAAACCAUAAAAUUGCUGCCAAAUUUGGGGCCACGAAAGUGCCUUCAAAAUGAAAUCGAAUCAAGUCAUGAAUCAAAUCUUGGCCAGCCUUAAACUGCGCAAAUUGUGGCGCCCAUUCGACGCGUUUGCCUCCCACACAAACACAGAAAAUCAACGCACACACACACGUGCAUACAUAUACAUUUGCAGCUGGCCGUUUCCUUGCGUGGGCCAAAGCAGAAUCUAAGGAAAUUAUUCUUAUGCCAAUUAUUGUUUUCUUUUCUUUUUUUUUUUUGUUAUUUAUUGUUUUUCUUUUUUUGUGUUUUCUUUUGGUUUGCUGAGUGUCGAGGAGCCCAGGUGAAAGCAAAAUAUACGAAAAUUUACGAUUUGUUUACUGUAUACAGCCACGCGAUUACCAAGCCAGCUCUCCCCUGACUACCUGUAUACCUGCCUCCCUCUCUGUCCGACUCCCGCUCCCACUCCCACUGUGCGUGUGUGUGGACAUGCUAAAACAUGUUUUACAAUCUGUUUUGCUAAUCAAGCGACGUGACUAAAGCAAAUAAAUAUGCGAAAAUAAACAGCAAAUAAAAUCAAAAGUAAAUCUACUAAAAUAUCGAGUCAAGUGUUGUGCUAAUUACAAAAAUUAAUUAAUAAAUCAAAUGAAGUUAUUUAUUUAAUAAAAAAAUAUUAUUACUUCAACAUAUCACCGAUCUAUAAUAAAUACUACAAUUAAAAAAUCUGAGCAUAUCUCUGACUAACUAAUUUCAAUCAAAUCAAAGCAAGCACCCGGCGUUGAGGCUCUAGAGCUGCACCGCGAUAAGCCGAGCGUGCUGAUCACCUCGCCCGGCUCUCCGGAUCUCCAC